RNAcentral lists this ribosomal RNA (497 nucleotides) under uncultured bacterium. Its description in RNAcentral is "partial 16S ribosomal RNA". It matches the Rfam family "Bacterial small subunit ribosomal RNA", at positions 28 to 507 of the family's 1533-position model. The record is from RNAcentral.
GACGAACGCUGGCGGCGUGCCUAAUACAUGCAAGUUGAGCGCUGAAGGUGGUUACUUGUACCAACUGGAUGAGCAGCGAACGGGUGAGUAACGCGUGGGGAAUCUGCCUUUGAGCGGGGGACCACAUUUGGAAACGAAUGCUAAUACCGCAUAAAAACUUUAAACACAAGUUUUAAGUUUGAAAGAUGCAAUUGCAUCACUCAAAGAUGAUCCCGCGUUGUAUUAGCUAGUUGGUGAGGUAAAGGCUCACCCAGGCGAUGAUACAUAGCCGACCUGAGAGGGUGAUCGGCCACAUUGGGACUGAGAAACGGCCCAAAAUCCUACGGGGGGCAGCAGUAGGGAAUCUUAGGCAAUGGACGAAAGUCUGACCGAGCAAAGCCGCGUGAGUGAAGAAGGUUUUCGGAUCGUAAAACUCUGUUGGUAGAGAAGAAAGUUGGUGAGAGUGGAAAGCUCAUCAAGUGACGGUAACUACCCAGAAAGGGACGGCUAACUACGUG